This 445-nucleotide ribosomal RNA is filed under the name uncultured bacterium. RNAcentral describes it as "partial 16S ribosomal RNA". It matches the Rfam family "Bacterial small subunit ribosomal RNA", at positions 354 to 796 of the family's 1533-position model. The record is from RNAcentral.
GUAAGGAAUAUUGGUCAAUGGACGGAAGUCUGAACCAGCCAUGCCGCGUGGAGGAUGAAGGUCCUCUGGAUUGUAAACUUCUUUUAUAGGGGGCGAAAAAAGGGAAUUCUUUCUCGUCUGACGGUACCCCAUGAAUAAGCACCGGCUAACUCCGUGCCAGCAGCCGCGGUAAUACGGAGGGUGCAAGCGUUAUCCGGAUUCACUGGGUUUAAAGGGAGCGUAGGCGGGCAUGUAAGUCAGUGGUGAAAGCCCUCAGCUUAACUGAGGAACUGCCAUUGAUACUAUAUGUCUUGAAUGUCGUUGAGGUUUGCGGAAUAGGUCAUGUAGCGGUGAAAUGCUUAGAUAUGACCUAGAACACCUAUUGCGAAGGCAGCAGGCUAAACGAAUAUUGACGCUGAGGCUCGAAAGCGUGGGGAUCAAACAGGAUUAGAAACCCCAGUAGUCC